Molecule: ribosomal RNA, 326 nt
Filed under: uncultured eukaryote
Lineage: Eukaryota
Description: partial 18S ribosomal RNA
Rfam family: Eukaryotic small subunit ribosomal RNA
Source: RNAcentral
CCCUUAGAUGUCCGGGGCUGCACGCGCGCUACACUGAAUGAAUCAGCGUGCUAGAAAACCUUGUUUGACAUGGCUAGGUAACCCAUUGAAAAUCAUUCGUGAUUGGGAUCGGGACUUGCAAAUGUGUCCCUUGAACGAGGAAUUCCCAGUAAGUGCGGGUCAUCAGCUCGCGUUGAAUACGUCCCUGCCCUUUGUACACACCGCCCGUCGCUCCUACCGAUCGAAGAGUUAGGUGAAUUGUUUUGAUCGAUAAGAUUUGACUAUGGUCAACUCUCGUUGUGAAAUUCUGUGAAUCUGACUGUUUAGAGGAAGGAAAAGUCGUAACA